Molecule: ribosomal RNA, 253 nt
Filed under: uncultured bacterium
Lineage: Bacteria
Description: partial 16S ribosomal RNA
Rfam family: Bacterial small subunit ribosomal RNA
Source: RNAcentral
UACGUAGGGUGCAAGCGUUAAUCGGAAUUACUGGGCGUAAAGCGUGCGCAGGCGGUUGUGCAAGACAGAGGUGAAAUCCCCGAGCUUAACUUGGGAACUGCCUUUGUGACUGCACGGCUAGAGUGUGUCAGAGGGGGGUAGAAUUCCACGUGUAGCAGUGAAAUGCGUAGAGAUGUGGAGGAAUACCGAUGGCGAAGGCAGCCCCCUGGGAUAACACUGACGCUCAUGCACGAAAGCGUGGGGAGCAAACAGG